UGAGAUGUAGCUUAAAAGGUAGAGCAUCGCUCUCAUAAGGCGAAAGAUUCAGAUUCGACUCCUUACAUCUCAA
This 73-nucleotide transfer RNA is filed under the name Allomuricauda sp. SCSIO 64092. RNAcentral describes it as "Muricauda sp. SCSIO 64092 tRNA-Met". It matches the Rfam family "tRNA". Rfam says of the family: Transfer RNA (tRNA) molecules are approximately 80 nucleotides in length. Their secondary structure includes four short double-helical elements and three loops (D, anti-codon, and T loops). The record is from RNAcentral. Lineage: Bacteria; Pseudomonadati; Bacteroidota; Flavobacteriia; Flavobacteriales; Flavobacteriaceae.